Molecule: ribosomal RNA, 468 nt
Filed under: uncultured bacterium
Lineage: Bacteria
Description: partial 16S ribosomal RNA
Rfam family: Bacterial small subunit ribosomal RNA
Source: RNAcentral
GACGAACGCUGGCGGCGUGCUUAACACAUGCAAGUCGAACGGAGAGGCCCUGCUUUUGUGGGGUGCUCGAGUGGCGAACGGGUGAGUAACACGUGAGUAACCUGCCCUUGACUUUGGGAUAACUUCAGGAAACUGGGGCUAAUACCGGAUAGGAGCUCCUGCUGCAUGGUGGGGGUUGGAAAGUUUCGGCGGUUGGGGAUGGACUCGCGGCUUAUCAGCUUGUUGGUGGGGUAGUGGCUUACCAAGGCUUUGACGGGUAGCCGGCCUGAGAGGGUGACCGGCAACAUUGGGACUAGGAGACGGCCCAGCCGCCUACGGGAGGCAGCGGGGGGAAAUUUUGCACAAUGGGCGGAAGCCUGAUGCAGCAACGCCGCGUGGGGGAUGACGGCCUUCGGGUUGUAAACCUCUUUCGCCUGUGACGAAGCGGGAGUGACGGUAAUGGGUAAAGAAGCACCGGCUAACUACGUG